This is a long non-coding RNA of Lepidothrix coronata (blue-crowned manakin), 465 nucleotides long. RefSeq lists it as uncharacterized. The transcript has 3 exons. Lineage: Eukaryota; Metazoa; Chordata; Aves; Passeriformes; Pipridae. The record is from RefSeq and is a predicted model, not a curated record.
CACCCCGGGCCCUGCGCCCCCGCAGCCGGGGGGGAGCGGCCCGGGGAGGGGGCGGAAAGAAGUCACUCCCCUCCUGAGAGGUGUUGUCGUCCUCCUCCGGCUUUCGCGAGCUCCCCAGUGCCCAUACACUGGUCCCUGCCCUUGCUUCACCAGACAUGUCCUUGACUGGGUUUGGAAUGGGGGGGAAGUACAAGCUUUUUAAUUAAAAGAGUCAGCUCAAGAGUAUUUUAGCAGCACUCCAGAUCCCUGUUCGUGUGUCCCCCCAGCAGUAAACACAUGGUGAAAAAUGAGCUGGGCAGUAUAGCCUGUGAACAGGAUUUAGCACUUGGAGGGAACCCAAGACAGAGCAUGAGAAAGAGCGGUCACACAAGGCAGCCCUUACUACCCAUUCUCCCCUCAGCCCAGUUUAAGCUGCAGAAGAUGCAUUUUCCACUUAACUGGCGUCGGGCCGGAGAAGGAUCCCAG